UGAUUUACCAUCACAAUUUUUACUCGUGUU
RNAcentral lists this non-coding RNA (30 nucleotides) under Mus musculus (house mouse). The record is from RNAcentral. Lineage: Eukaryota; Metazoa; Chordata; Mammalia; Rodentia; Muridae.